UGAGGAAUAUUGGACAAUGGGCGCAAGCCUGAUCCAGCCAUGCCGCGUGCAGGAAGACGGCCCUAUGGGUUGUAAACUGCUUUUAUACAGGAAGAAACACCUCUACGUGUAGAGGCUUGACGGUACUGUAAGAAUAAGGAUCGGCUAACUCCGUGCCAGCAGCCGCGGUAAUACGGAGGAUCCAAGCGUUAUCCGGAAUCAUUGGGUUUAAAGGGUCCGUAGGUGGACAAUUAAGUCAGAGGUGAAAUCCUGCAGCUCAACUGUAGAAUUGCCUUUGAAACUGGUUGUCUUGAAUCAUUAUGAAGUGGUUAGAAUAUGUGGUGUAGCGGUGAAAUGCAUAGAUAUCACAUAGAAUACCGAUUGCGAAGGCAGAUCACUAAUAAUGUAUUGACACUGAUGGACGAAAGCGUGGGGAGCGAACA
Molecule: ribosomal RNA, 422 nt
Filed under: uncultured Flavobacteriaceae bacterium
Lineage: Bacteria; Pseudomonadati; Bacteroidota; Flavobacteriia; Flavobacteriales; Flavobacteriaceae
Description: bacterial SSU rRNA
Rfam family: Bacterial small subunit ribosomal RNA
Source: RNAcentral